This 484-nucleotide ribosomal RNA is filed under the name uncultured bacterium. Its description in RNAcentral is "partial 16S ribosomal RNA". It matches the Rfam family "Bacterial small subunit ribosomal RNA", at positions 30 to 507 of the family's 1533-position model. The record is from RNAcentral.
AUUGAACGCUGGCGGCAGGCCUAGCACAUGCAAGUCGAGCGGAUGAAGGGAGCUUGCUCCUGGAUUCAGCGGCGGACGGGUGAGUAAUGCCUAGGAAUCUGCCUGGUAGUGGGGGAUAACGUCCGGAAACGGGCGCUAAUACCGCAUACGUCCUGAGGGAGAAAGUGGGGGAUCUUCGGACCUCACGCUAUCAGAUGAGCCUAGGUCGGAUUAGCUAGUUGGUGGGGUAAAGGCCUACCAAGGCGACGAUCCGUAACUGGUCUGAGAGGAUGAUCAGUCACACUGGAACUGAGACACGGUCCAGACUCCUACGGGAGGCGGCAGUGGGGAAUAUUGGACAAUGGGCGAAAGCCUGAUCCAGCCAUGCCGCGUGUGUGAAGAAGGUCUUCGGAUUGUAAAGCACUUUAAGUUGGGAGGAAGGGCAGUAAGUUAAUACCUUGCUGUUUUGACGUUACCAACAGAAUAAGCACCGGCUAACUUCGUG